Molecule: ribosomal RNA, 468 nt
Filed under: uncultured bacterium
Lineage: Bacteria
Description: partial 16S ribosomal RNA
Rfam family: Bacterial small subunit ribosomal RNA
Source: RNAcentral
GACGAACGCUGGCGGCGUGCUUAACACAUGCAAGUCGAACGGAAAGGCCCUGCUUUUGUGGGGUGCUCGAGUGGCGAACGGGUGAGUAACACGUGAGUAACCUGCCCUUGACUUUGGGAUAACUUCAGGAAACUGGGGCUAAUACCGGAUAGGAGCUCCUGCUGCAUGGUGGGGGUUGGAAAGUUUCGGCGGUUGGGGAUGGACUCGCGGCUUAUCAGCUUGUUGGUGGGGUAGUGGCUCACCAAGGCUUUGACGGGUAGCCGGCCUGAGAGGAUGGCCGGCCACAUUGGGACUGAGAUACGGCCCAGACUCCUACGGGAGGCAGCAGUGGGGAAUAUUGCACAAUGGGCGGAAGCCUGAUGCAGCAACGCCGCGUGCGGGAUGACGGCCUUCGGGUUGUAAACCGCUUUCGCCUGUGACGAAGCGUGAGUGACGGUAAUGGGUAAAGAAGCACCGGCUAACUACGUG